UACGUAGGGUGCAAGCGUUAAUCGGAAUCACUGGGCGUAAAGCGUGCGUAGGCGGUUUCUUAAGUCUGUCGUGAAAGCCCUGGGCUCAACCUGGGAACGGCGAUGGAUACUGGGAAGCUAGAAUGUGAGAGAGGAUGGUGGAAUUCCCGGUGUAGCGGUGAAAUGCGUAGAGAUGUGGAGGAACACCGAUGGCGAAGGCAGCCUCCUGGGCCAGCACUGACGCUCAUGCACGAAAGCGUGGGGAGCAAACAGG
RNAcentral lists this ribosomal RNA (253 nucleotides) under uncultured bacterium. RNAcentral's name for it is "partial 16S ribosomal RNA". It matches the Rfam family "Bacterial small subunit ribosomal RNA", at positions 524 to 776 of the family's 1533-position model. The record is from RNAcentral.